RNAcentral lists this long non-coding RNA (267 nucleotides) under Rattus norvegicus (Norway rat). RNAcentral describes it as "long non-coding RNA NONRATT025671". The record is from RNAcentral. Lineage: Eukaryota; Metazoa; Chordata; Mammalia; Rodentia; Muridae.
AGGAGCAAUGCAGUCAUAUACGUGGUCACUAACGUACACAGUGACGACAGCGGCUGGGUCGCCGGCUGAGAACUCCCAACAACUACCCUGUAUGAGGAGCACCCACGUGCCUUCUUCCUCUGUCACACACAGGAUACCAGUCUACUCCCACAGGGAGGAGCAUGGGUACACGGGAAGCUAUAACUACGGGAGCUAUGGCAACCAGCAUCCUCACCCACUGCAGAACCAGUAUCCAGCCCUGCCUCAUGACACAGCCAUCUCUGGGCC